AUUGCUUCUCGGCCUUUUGGCUAAGAUCAAGUGUAGUAAGUUAUUUUAUAAUGUAAAGAUGUAAUCAAAUGCAGAGAUUUAAAAGUUUGAUUCUGUGAAGUUACUAAAACAACUGCCUGGUCUUUCCAAACACUU
Molecule: small nuclear RNA, 135 nt
Filed under: Rhinolophus ferrumequinum (greater horseshoe bat)
Lineage: Eukaryota; Metazoa; Chordata; Mammalia; Chiroptera; Rhinolophidae
Description: U2 spliceosomal RNA (ENSRFEG00010019795.1)
Rfam family: U2 spliceosomal RNA
About the family: U2 is a small nuclear RNA (snRNA) component of the spliceosome (involved in pre-mRNA splicing). Complementary binding between U2 snRNA (in an area lying towards the 5' end but 3' to hairpin I) and the branchpoint sequence (BPS) of the intron results the bulging out of an unpaired adenosine, on the BPS, which initiates a nucleophilic attack at the intronic 5' splice site, thus starting the first of two transesterification reactions that mediate splicing.
Source: Rfam by way of RNAcentral